AAAGUAUGGCUGUUGGGCUUGAAUGUCUCCCUUUCUAGAACUCUCUUGUAGAAUGCAAUGGAAUUCCUUGGGUUAUUAGAAUGGGCAUAGCCUUUAAUCGUGGUAUUUACAGUGAAUGAGUCCGGCUUGCAGGGCAAUCUGUGGUAUUUGCUCCUGAAUGUUUCUCUGUCUUUAAAUCCUAUGCCCACUCGAGUACAUUGCCUUAUUUUGGAUGAAAGAUUGUAGCCUUUCAUUAUCAGGUGUUUUUUAUAUCUAUUUUGCAGUACUUUCUUACACUAUUAAGCUACACUCAUGGGGUGAGCACAUGUCUAAUUAAAAAAAAAU
Molecule: long non-coding RNA, 324 nt
Filed under: Amborella trichopoda
Lineage: Eukaryota; Viridiplantae; Streptophyta; Magnoliopsida; Amborellales; Amborellaceae
Description: long non-coding RNA (ATRI_LNC002150)
Source: RNAcentral